RNAcentral lists this ribosomal RNA (500 nucleotides) under uncultured bacterium. RNAcentral describes it as "partial 16S ribosomal RNA". It matches the Rfam family "Bacterial small subunit ribosomal RNA", at positions 30 to 523 of the family's 1533-position model. The record is from RNAcentral.
AUUGAACGCUGGCGGAAUGCUUUACGCAUGCAAGUCGAACGGCAGCACGGACUUCGGUCUGGUGGCGAGUGGCGAACGGGUGAGUAAUGUAUCGGAACGUGCCCAGUCGUGGGGGAUAACGUAGUGAAAAUUACGCUAAUACCGCAUACGACCUAUGGAUGAAAGCGGGGGAUCGCAAGACCUCGCGCGAUUGGAGCGGCCGAUAUCAGAUUAGGUAGUUGGUGGGGUAAAGGCCCGCCAAGCCAACGAUCUGUAGCUGGUCUGAGAGGACGACCAGCCACACUGGAACUGAGACACGGUCCAGACUCCUACGGGAGGCAGCAGUGGGGAAUUUUGGACAAUGGGCGAAAGCCUGAUCCAGCCAUUCCGCGUGCAGGAUGAAGGCCCUCGGGUUGUAAACUGCUUUUGUACAGAACGAAAAGGUUUCUACUAAUACUAGGAGCUCAUGACGGUACUGUAAGAAUAAGCACCGGCUAACUACGUGCCAGCCGCCGCAGUAA